GAAAGAAAGAGAAAGGGAGAGAGAGAAUGAGAGAAGAGAAGGGAUGGGAGGGCAGAGAGAGUGAAAUUAGACUGAAGGGGAGGGAGGCGAAUCUGUGAGGUGAGGAUUCUGCCUUACAACACUGAGCAUGUCUUUGUGAGGAUACGAUUAUACUGUUCUAAGGUCUAUUUUCUGUUGUUUAAAGCAGAACAGUGAACUGCGUGUCUGUCUUCAAUGAGUAUACACUGAAAUAACAACAGGUUUUGCAAGUCUAGGGUGUUGAUGUCAUCUUAACCCUCUGUGUGUGUCAGAAGCAGAACAGGGACAGUGUAUCUAGCCAGUCACCACAAUGUCACCCAAACACACCACAGCUGCACUCCACUUCCCACAGUGCUCAUUCAGAUUAGCCAAAUUAAUCAUACAGUGUGUAUACAUUAUUAAAGAAUUUAUGUAAAUUUGCUUGUUAAAAUGUACUUGGUGUUUUUAAUUUUUUCUCAAAUAUGAAAUGCUAUAUAUAUAUAUAUAUAUAUAUAUAUAUAUAUAUAUAUAUAUAUAUAUAUAUAUAUAUAUAUAUAUAUAUAUAUAUGUAUGUAUGUAUAAUGAUGAAUUGUUCACAGUAAGAUCUAUAACAUGCAUUUAUAAAAUAGGACAGUUUUCAAUUAAUGCUGACUUUAAAAAUGACUUAACAUGUACGAAAUCUGUAACUUGUAUGUGUAUAGUGCUGUCCCACAGUUCUAUGAAUUAUUUAAAAAUAUUUAAAAUAUCAAAUGGAAAUUUACAACUCUAAAGUUAUAACACUAACUAUAAUCUAUUUUGCAAAUUUCUAGAUGAAUUUUUCAUAGUGCCUCACAAAAAACUGAUUUCCUGUGAUGUAUUGUAUUAGAUUGAGAUGACAAUCCUUCUUGCUCUUCCCUUUUUAAAAGAUUUUUUUUAAUCUGUUCACAACAUUUCAGAGUUUGUGCACAACAUGUCCAAACUGAUCUGAGAUGAAUCAUUAGAUUUAGUUGGCUUGGUUUAUGGAACAUAAUUGUCUUGACUCAUCUGCCAGUUAAUUGUUCAUAACAGAGAUGUAAAGUACACAAUAAAGACUAUUUUAAACAACAUGAAUGAUUCGGUGUAAUUUAAAGGUGAGGUCAGGCAACCUAAAUGAGUCAAGCUAAUCAUUUUCCAUUACUGAUUUGAAUAAACUCAAACAACAUUGUUGUAACCGUUCUAAAGAACACUAUGUGCAGGCACAAAGUUUACCUUGCUCUGUUUUGAAAGAUGAAAAAUCACAUUUUGAGACCGGGGUCCCAGUAAUGUUAACCCACCCUCGAGGGACACAGCCUGUCACAUUCAUUCCUUCAUCUGUCAGGCUCCUGGUACCAGUUUGUUGCCAUGGUAAUACCGUCUGGUGAUGCAGUCGGAAAAGCUGUAGAGUCCUAAUUGGCCUCAGUCCUAGAUAACCAAUAGCGUUGACUACGUUUUCUAGAGACACCGCUGAUUUCCCUCCGAAAGUCGAGACAUGGAAAGAAGAGAGAAUAAAGUGUCCAACGUCUCCCCACAAAAACAGACAGUGAAAAAUAGAUCCAAGUCCACAGAGGAGGUACAGCAAGCCAAAAAGGCCUUUCAUACACCACAAAAAUCUCUUCCGGCUAAACCAGAAACCGAACAACUUGAGGAGACCUCAGAACUGAGUGCCUCAUCAGAGGAGUUAAAAUGAUUGUUGGAUUCAAACUUCGGGGCUUUGAGAUUUAGACAGAUCAACCGGAAUUAUGGGUAAUAACAAGAGGAUGAUUCAGUGUCUUUACUGAAUUCAGUGUUUUACUUUGUUUAGUUCAUAUAGAAGAAAACCAACAAUAAUCAUGUGUAGCUUCUUGAAUUUGUAUGAGUCUGUUUUGUUUGUGAAAUAAAUGGAUAUCUCAG
Long non-coding RNA from Cyprinus carpio carpio, 1884 nucleotides. The record is from Ensembl. Lineage: Eukaryota; Metazoa; Chordata; Actinopteri; Cypriniformes; Cyprinidae.